GACGAACCGUGCGAACGUUGUUCGGAUUCACUGGGCUUAAAGGGCGCGUAGGCGGGUGAUCAAGUCCGGGGUGAAAUACUUCAGCUCAACUGGAGAAUAGCCUUGGAUACUGGUCGUCUUGAGUGAGGUAGGGGCAUGUGGAACUUCCGGUGGAGCGGUGAAAUGCGUAGAUAUCGGAAGGAACGCCGGUGGCGAAAGCGACGUGCUGGACCUCUUCUGACGCUGAGGCGCGAAAGCCAGGGGAGCAAACGGGAUUAGAUACCCCGGUAGUCCUGGCCCUAAACGAUGGGUACUAGAUUGUAGACUUAACAUGGGUUUACAGUCGAAGCAAAAGUGUUAAGUACCCCGCCUGGGGAGUAUGGUCGCAAGGCUGAA
Molecule: ribosomal RNA, 375 nt
Filed under: uncultured bacterium
Lineage: Bacteria
Description: bacterial SSU rRNA
Rfam family: Bacterial small subunit ribosomal RNA
Source: RNAcentral